UAGCUAGUUGGUGAGGUAACGGCCCACCAAGGCAACGAUCGGUAGCCGGACUGAGAGGUUGAACGGCCACAUUGGGACUGAGACACGGCCCAGACUCCUACGGGAGGCAGCAGUGGGGAAUAUUGCACAAUGGGGGAAACCCUGAUGCAGCGACGCCGCGUGGAGGAAGAAGGUCUUCGGAUUGUAAACUCCUGUUGUUGAGGAAGAUAAUGACGGUACUCAACAAGGAAGUGACGGCUAACUACGUGCCAGCAGCCGCGGUAAAACGUAGGUCACAAGCGUUGUCCGGAAUUACUGGGUGUAAAGGGAGCGCAGGCGGGAAGACAAGUUGGAAGUGAAAUCUAUGGGCUCAACCCAUAAACUGCUUUCAAAACUGUUUUUCUUGAGUAGUGCAGAGGUAGGCGGAAUUCCCGGUGUAGCGGUGGAAUGCGUAGAUAUCGGGAGGAACACCAGUGGCGAAGGCGGCCUACUGGGCACCAACUGACGCUGAGGCUCGAAAGUGUGGGUAGCAAACAGGAUUAGAUACCCUGGUAGUCCACACCGUAAACGAUGAUUACUAGGUGUUGGAGGAUUGACCCCUUCAGUGCCGCAGUUAACACAAUAAGUAAUCCACCUGGGGAGUACGACCGCAAGGUUGAAACUCAAAGGAAUUGACGGGGGCCCGCACAAGCAGUGGAGUAUGUGGUUUAAUUCGACGCAACGCGAAGAACCUUACCAAGUCUUGACAUCCUGCGACGAUGCUGGAAACAGUAUUUUCCUUCGGGACGCAGAGACAGGUGGUGCAUGGUUGUCGUCAGCUCGUGUCGUGAGAUGUUGGGUUAAGUCCCGCAACGAGCGCAACCCUUACUGUCAGUUACUACGCAAGAGGACUCUGGCAGGACUGCCGUUGACAAAACGGAGGAAGGUGGGGAUGACGUCAAAUCAUCAUGCCCUUUAUGACUUGGGCUACACACGUACUACAAUGGCGUUAAACAAAGAGAAGCAAGACCGCGAGGUGGAGCAAAACUCAGAAACAACGUCCCAGUUCGGACUGCAGGCUGCAACUCGCCUGCACGAAGUCGGAAUUGCUAGUAAUCGUGGAUCAGCAUGCCACGGUGAAUACGUUCCCGGGCCUUGUACACACCGCCCGUCACACCAUGAGAGCCGGGGGGACCCGAAGUCGGUAUCCUAACCUGAAAAGGAGGGCGCGGCCGAAGGUGGGUUCGAUAAUUGGGGUGAAGUCGUAACAAGGUAG
Molecule: ribosomal RNA, 1234 nt
Filed under: metagenome
Description: bacterial SSU rRNA
Rfam family: Bacterial small subunit ribosomal RNA
Source: RNAcentral